CCUACGGGAGGCAGCAGUGAGGAAUAUUGGUCAAUGGACGAGAGUCUGAACCAGCCAAGUAGCGUGAAGGAUGACUGCCCUAUGGGUUGUAAACUUCUUUUAUAAAGGAAUAAAACGAGGCACGUGUGCCUUUUUGCAUGUACUUUAUGAAUAAGGAUCGGCUAACUCCGUGCCAGCAGCCGCGGUAAUACGGAGGAUCCGAGCGUUAUCCGGAUUUAUUGGGUUUAAAGGGAGCGUAGAUGGGUUGGUAAGUCAGUUGUGAAAGUUUGCUGCUCAACCGUAAAAUUGCAAUUGAUACUGGAAGUCUUGAGUACAGUUGAGGUAGGCGGAAUUCGUGGUGUAGCGGUGAAAUGCUUAGAUAUCACGAAGAACCCCGAUUGCGAAGGCAGCUUACUAAACUGUGACUGACAUUGAUGCUCGAAAGUGUGGGUAUCAAACAGGAUUAGAUACCCCAGUAGUC
RNAcentral lists this ribosomal RNA (460 nucleotides) under uncultured bacterium. Its description in RNAcentral is "partial 16S ribosomal RNA". It matches the Rfam family "Bacterial small subunit ribosomal RNA", at positions 338 to 795 of the family's 1533-position model. The record is from RNAcentral.